UACGUAGGGAGCAAGCGUUGUCCGGAAUUAUUGGGCGUAAAGAGCUCGUAGGCGGUUUGUCGCGUCUGCCGUGAAAGUCCGGGGCUCAACUCCGGAUCUGCGGUGGGUACGGGCAGACUAGAGUGAUGUAGGGGAGACUGGAAUUCCUGGUGUAGCGGUGAAAUGCGCAGAUAUCAGGAGGAACACCGAUGGCGAAGGCAGGUCUCUGGGCUGACACUGACGCUCAUGCACGAAAGCGUGGGGAGCAAACAGG
Molecule: ribosomal RNA, 253 nt
Filed under: uncultured bacterium
Lineage: Bacteria
Description: partial 16S ribosomal RNA
Rfam family: Bacterial small subunit ribosomal RNA
Source: RNAcentral